GCCGGUCUAGCUCAAUUGGCAGAGCAACUGACUUGUAAUCAGUAGGUUGGGGGUUCGAUUCCUCUGGCCGGCACCA
RNAcentral lists this transfer RNA (76 nucleotides) under Staphylococcus lugdunensis. Its description in RNAcentral is "tRNA-Thr". It matches the Rfam family "tRNA". Rfam says of the family: Transfer RNA (tRNA) molecules are approximately 80 nucleotides in length. Their secondary structure includes four short double-helical elements and three loops (D, anti-codon, and T loops). RNAcentral also lists the same sequence under 7 other names. Lineage: Bacteria; Bacillati; Bacillota; Bacilli; Caryophanales; Staphylococcaceae. The record is from RNAcentral.